This 406-nucleotide ribosomal RNA is filed under the name uncultured bacterium. RNAcentral describes it as "partial 16S ribosomal RNA". It matches the Rfam family "Bacterial small subunit ribosomal RNA", at positions 30 to 526 of the family's 1533-position model. The record is from RNAcentral.
AUUGAACGCUGGCGGCAGGCCUAACACAUGCAAGUCGAACGAGCGGCGGACGGGUGAGUAAUGUCUGGGAAACUGCCCGAUGGAGGGGGAUAACUACUGGAAACGGUAGCUAAUACCGCAUACCAUCAGAUGCGCCCAGAUGGGAUUAGCUAGUUGGUGGGGUAACGGCUCACCUAGGCGACGAUCUCUAGCUGGUCUGAGAGGAUGACAGUCCACACUGGAACUGAGACACGGUCCAGACUCCUACGGGAGGCAGCAGUGGGGAAUAUUGCACAAUGGGCGCAAGCCUGAUGCAGCCAUGCCGCGUGUAUGAAGAAGGCCUUAGGGUUGUAAAGUACUUUCAGCGAGGAGGCGUUACCCGCAGAAGAAGCACCGGCUAACUCCGUGCCAGCAGCCGCGGUAAUUC